Spodoptera litura is the source of this 547-nucleotide long non-coding RNA. RefSeq lists it as uncharacterized. The record is from RefSeq and is a predicted model, not a curated record. Lineage: Eukaryota; Metazoa; Arthropoda; Insecta; Lepidoptera; Noctuidae.
GUACACCGGGAAAGACGUGCUGGUCCUUCAAGCCGACAUUUAUCUGUGCCUUAUCUCUUCAUGAUCUGGGUAAUACAGGUUCCUGAUGGAGAAGCCAGCAGUCAUCAGCUCAAGUUGUCUCGAGACGUCAGCGUACCAGCAUCUGCUCUACAGCUCCCCACUACUCAAGACUUCCGGUCACGGAUCACCGGUGCACAACAACCUCACCACUGCUCUCCAAUAAAUGAUGCAGUAUGACGUCGAAGCUAAACUGACCGAUAUCCACCACUUUUCUGGGGUGUUAGUGGCUCCUCCACCGCCUUGUGAGCCAAAGUCAACCUCACCUGCCCGCGGUGCACCCUGCUGACUCACGGACGAGGCUCUGACGCCCCUUGUGAGGCGGAGAUGAUCCUGAUCCUCUCAGCCCCCCAUGGGCCCAUUAUGGACUGCGCCUGCAUCUCCGUCGCAGAUGCGGUACAUAAUUAUUGUAGUCAUUACAUAAUCGACAUAGGUUAAGAGGAUUAUAAGAGGAUUAAAAGUUUUUUUAAUAAUAAUAAUAAAUGUAAAU